AGGUGAUAUAUUGAAAAAAGGUAUAUGUAAUUAAUAUUAUUUUAAGGAUUACGAAUCAAAAUUUAAAUAAUGAUAAAAAGAUAAAAACUGUAAUAACAGGGAUCAAUCAUAAUCAUGAAAAUGAUAAAAAGAGAAACAAGUGGAAUGAAACAUCUGAGUAACUUGUUAAAUAACCAACAGGGAUAAUAUAAGUAACGGUGAGUGAAAGUAUUAAAAUCUUAAAGUAUUACCAAGAGGUAAGAAUAAAGUAGUUUCCAACUACUAAGAAAUAAAAUUAAAUUUUAGAUUAAAGUACCGCAAGGGAAAGUAAAGAAAUAGAAUAAUAAAGAGCAGUUAUAGUAUAACGUACCUCUUGUAUAAGUGCGACAAGAAGCAUUAAUAAUUAAUGUGGCUAAUAACCACCUAACCUUUCCAUUGGUUAGACCCUAUCUAUACAUGCUGAAGGAGUAAUCAUCAGUUUGAAGCUAUAGAGACAAUGUAACAUUAUUCCCAUUAAAUUUAAUCGGAGUGCUAGGGUAAUAAUUCUAUGAUAAACGAAAGUGAACUUGCAUUGAGGCUUCGUAAAAAAUGGCCCCGCUUCGCGGGGCGAUACCGGCCUACCGGCCGGCAUUGUUAAGUCAAAUCUUUCUUAUACUGGGAUUUGAAAUGGAACAUAUUUAACACGAAGUAAAGCAUAGUAUCUAAGGAAUGUCCGGUAUAUGACCGGUAAAUUAUCCCCCUGCUUCGCAGGGGAUGAUUAAUCCCGAAGGGGGAUAAAUUAUGGAAAAUUAAUCCGUUAAUGUAUUUUAAUUAUUAGUGAACUUGGUAAGCCCUUAGUUUUCUAAAUAUAAUGUUAUAUUUAGAGGUAACAUAUAAAGAUUAAUCUGAAAUUGUUAUAUCGAACUUAGGGUAUAAGAAGAUUCAAAAAGCGAAUGCAGAUUAGUAAUAGAUCUGAUAAAGUUUUAUAACUUAAUCCGAGAGGAUGCAGACUUGAAUCAUUGUGAUCUUCAUAAUUAUUUAGCUCUUUAAGAGCAAUAUGAUAAUCUAAAGCUUUCGGUAGAUUAUGAUAGAGAUCUUGUUAUAAUACAAGUGAAAAUAAUUAUUGCUAAAUAAAAGCCCACAUAGUGGGUAAUUGGCUAAUAUUGUAAUAUGGGCCCGCCUUCGGCGGGCCGAUAUUAUCCCCGGCUCCGCCGGGGAAAUAUUACAAUUAAGUAAGAUUGCAUGAGCCGUAUGCGAUGAAAGUCGCACGUACGGUUCUAAGGGGGGGAAAAACUGAGAGGUUCUACCUAUCCCAAUUGGGCCAGUGAGUUAUAUAAUUUAGUGAAAAAUUGAAUAAAAAUUUUUAUAUAUAAAUAGAAAUAAAUUAAAUUAUAUAGGCCCGAAAGCAAACGAUCUACACAUGUCCAAGUGUAUAUACAACCUAUUUUAGGUUUAUAUAUGACUCAAUAGGUAAUUGUAGCAAUAAUUUCUAAAGAGGUGUGUGUAGCUGUGACAGACAAAUCUGGUUUGCAGAUAGCUGGUUUUCUGCGAAAUAUAUUUUAGUAUAGCCUUUAUACAUAUUUAAACUGGUACAGCACUUAAAUAACUUUGGGGAAUUAGAAUAUAAUUUUAUCAAAAUAUUUAAACCUCGGAAUCAGUUAAUAAUAAUAUAAGGAGUCAGACUUAUUGCGAUAAGGUAGUAGGUCGAGAAGGAAACAACCUAGACUAUUAAAUGAAUGUCCCAAAUAUUAAUUAAGUGAACAAAAUCUAUCCUACUUUUAUUUUUUUUAAUAAAGGUUGAAAUUAUAUGUUAUAAUUUCUUCCCCUCAGGGGAAGAUAAUCAUCCCCCGCUUCGCGGGGGAUAAUUUCACAUUAUUUUUCUUCGGAAUUAUAUACGGGGUAUUAAAUUAUAGACAAUUAGUAAGUGGGUUUGACAAUAAUCAACUUUUAAUGAACAUGUAACAAUGCACUAAUUUUAUAUAUAUAUAUAUAAAUAAUAUAUAUAUUUAUUAAUAAUAGAGAAAAUAUAUCGGGUCUAAAUUAAUAACAGUAUUAUAGAUAUAAUCAUUAAGAUUAUAUGGUAGCAGAAUAUAUAAUGGAUAAUUAUAAAGAGAUUGCUGGCUUGAGUAACGAUAGAUAAUAUAAGAUUAUCCCCUUAUUCAUAAGGUUUUACUAUAAACGAACGGUCCCUAAGAUAAUUAUAGAAAUAUAAAAUUGAUGGGUGAAAGAACAAGAAAAUAAAAAUGAACCGUACUGUAGACCGACACAGGUAUGAUUAGCAAAAAGGGAAUGGGAUAACUACUUUGAAUGAACUCGGCAAAAUAAAUCGUGCGACUGUUUACCAAAAACAUAGCUUAUUGCAUACUAGUAAUAGUAAGUAUAAUAAGUGAUAUCUGCCCGGUGUUAGUUUAAUAAAUAUUAUUAUUUAAUAGAUAAUUUUAUAAAAGACUGAUAAACGGCGGUCUUAUUGUGAGGAUCCGAAGGUAGCGGUGCGACAAGAUAAAUGAGGGGGUUCGUUGCCCCCUGAUUAUAUCCCCCUUUGGGGGAUAAAUUCGUAAUAAGAAUAAGGUGAAAACCCUUUACAAUAAAAGUCAUAUUUGUAAACCUAAUUCAACAUGCAUUAUGAGUAAUUAUUUUGUAUGAAGCUUGAAUGACAACGGCUAUAAACUUUAUCUGAUAUAAGUGAUCUGGUCUAGGUUAGAACGACAUGAUUAGUUUAUCAAAAUAGUGGAUUAAAAUCUCGUUAUAGGAAAGUAACAUGAUCAGUUUUUGGUUACUAUAUAUGAUUUAAAUAAUAUCGACGCUACGGAUAUUAUUAUAUGACUUAAUAAUAAAAAAUCAUCGGGAUAUAGCUAUAAUCUAAAUCGUUCAUUAAAGUCUUAUUACGGAAACUUGGUAAGCCUUAUACAUACCUAUAUUUUAUAGGAAGUAAUAUAUAAAAUUAUAUAUAAUGGAAAUUAUUAUAUAGUGUAGAAGGUAAAGGAUAAAUAUAAAAAGCGAAUGAUUUUAUGUAAUGUAAAAUAUAGAGUUAAAUAACUCAUUCUGAAAGGAAGCUAACUUAUAUAUAAGGCCAUAAAAAAUUUUAUGGUUUGAGCCGUAAGCAGUGAAAGUUGCACAUACGGUUCUUAAGGGGGGAAAGCUUGAGAGGGCCUACCUAUCCUAACAAAUUCAUUGACGUAUAAUUGACGUCCUGCAUGAAUGAAUAUACGAUGCGAUAACUGUAUCCAAAGUAGACUCAGUGAAAUAGCAAUUGCGGUGAAAUUAGUACUAUAAUAAAUAUAUUAUACGCCGGGUUGGUGUAAAUCCAACUUUAUAGUUUUAAUAAUGCCGGCCGUAGGCCGGUAUGGCCCCGCUUAGCGGGGCCAUGAUAUAUUAAAUGUCUUAAAUGAUAGAUAAGUAUAAUAAAUAAGAAUACAAUCGAAAUAAUACUUACCCCUUAAAUAUAAGGGUAAAUUACAUAUAGGCAAUAUGUAGUUUAAUCACUAUAAAUAAAAAGGUGAAAACGGUUAAUGACAUCUUAGUUAAAGACCGUCGGCAGUUGUAUAUGUCGCUACAGACUGGUUCACCGAGGUUAGACUGAAAUGUCUGUCUAAAUGUACAGUCGGAUUCUGUAAUAUAAUAUUUAUAUUAUAUAGAGGUGAAAGAUGUAUAAAAAAAUACAACUUAUUAGUACUUAAGCAAGAAACCUUUGUAGGUCAAACCUACUUAAAUUAAUCAGAAUUGGAAGAUGCCGUAUAUCCGUAGGUUGACAAAAAGACCCUAUGCAGCUUUACUAUAUCUUUAUUUUGAUUUUUAAUCAUAAUACUUUUAUGAUUAGCCUUUUUUCAUUUAUUUCAGCAGAUUAGGUUAUAUUUAUAUUUUAAAUCAAAUGAGAUACCUAUAUAAUUGAAAAAAGAAUCUAAUUAAUACAGUCAGAAUUCUAUAAUAUAGAAUGUUAGUUAUACUAAUUGACUUAAGUUUAACUUAUUUAAGAAAGAGUAAAGAGGUUAGUUUCGAUGGGGCGUCGACAUCAGCGAAAGCAUCUGAUGUGUCUAAUAACAAUGAUCUUGAUUAAUCAAGACUAAAUGUUUAAUUAAAUUUUUUAUUUAAUAGUAAAUUACGUACAAUAAUUCUAUAUGGUAAAUAGAAUAAAAGAUUAUAAGUAAGGAUAACAACAUAAUUGUGCGAUGAUAAUAACACUAACAAGUGGAAUUAGUACUUACGUAGAGUGUAGUGAACAGGCAUAAACAAAUGGUAUGGAUGUCGAUAACGGAUUAAAGUUACGCUAGGGAUUAAUUGUUAGUUCCUUUAUAUAGAAAUAUAUAUUUAUCUACGCUUUAGUUAGAUAACUUUCAUUUGAAAGAUAUUAAUUGGGUGAAUUACAUAGAACUCUUUAUAUAUAAAGACAAUAUGUAGCGAAACAUAUAUUAGUUAAAUUUUUAAGAUAUAUGAACGUUCAACGACUAGUAAUUGAGUAAACUAACAAUAAUAUUACCACGAGCGCCCAAUACCUAUGAAUUAUCCCCCCCGCGAAGCGGGGGUAUGAUUAUAUCUCCCAAAGGAGAUAAAUGGCCCCGCUUCGCGGGGCAUAUUAUAUCCCGGCUACGCCGGGAUAAAUUAUUAGGUAAAGAAAUAGUCUGAACUAUAUAGUAAUAUAUAGAUGUUGUUAUUAAAAAAACAACAAAUAACAAAAUUGAACAGGGUAAUACCGCGUGAGAGUUGAUAUCGUCAGCGGUGUUUGCCACCUCGAUAAAUAACGAUAGUCGAGUUUAAAUAGGUUUAAUUGCAAGAAGUCUAAAAUAUAUGACAUAUUAGUUUGAUAUAUAAAAUGAUGAUUUGCAGCGAAUUAUUAUUUAUAUAAAUAAUAUAUAUAUAUUAUAAGAAUAAUAAACGUUCAACGACUAGUAGGUGAGUAAAAUAAAAUAUCCUACCACGAAAUACCUAGAAAUAUAUAUAUUUAUAUUUUAAGAUAUAGUCUGAACAAUAAUGAAAAUUAUUGAAGUUAAUAUUAAAUAAGUUAACGAUAACAAAUUGGUCGUCUAGACUCGUCCUCCUGGUCGCAGCAACUAGGUAGGGUAGGACUGUUCGUCCUCUAAGGAGUUACUUGAGAUGGGUUAAUUACGACGUGAGUCAGUAAUGAUUUUAUCAUCUAUGGAUUUUUUUCUUAUCUGUUGCCUUAAGUGUACGCAAGGAUAAUAAGGUACAUUCCUAUGGUUAAUUAUUAUAUUUAGCUAAGAAUGUUGUGUUUACAUAUUGAAUGCAUAUCAAAUAUUAAAUCCUUCAGAUAAGUUUAUACAUUAUAGACUAUAAUGUAUUAGUUAAUUUGUUAUAUUUGCAAAUAUACUAAUUUAUUUACUCAUAUUUUAUGAGUAUAAAAAAAAACAUAUACCU
This 5328-nucleotide ribosomal RNA is filed under the name Metschnikowia cerradonensis. Lineage: Eukaryota; Fungi; Ascomycota; Pichiomycetes; Serinales; Metschnikowiaceae. The record is from RNAcentral.